GGAAGUAACAAGGUUUCCGUAGGUGAACCUGCGGAAGGAUCAUUAUUGUAUAACCGAGGUGCGAGGGCUGUCGCUGACCCGAAAGGUCGUGCACGCCCGAGUGCCCUCACACACAUCCAUCUCACCCCUAUGUGCACCACCGCGUGGGUCCCCCUUUGGCUUGUUCGGAGGGGGGCUUACGUUUUCACACAAACUUUGUAUGCAGUGUAGAAUGUAUUUUUUGUUUUUGCGAUCACGCAAUCAAUACAACUUUCAACAACGGAUCUCUUGGCUCUC
RNAcentral lists this unclassified non-coding RNA (276 nucleotides) under plant metagenome. RNAcentral describes it as "partial contains small subunit ribosomal RNA, internal transcribed spacer 1, and 5.8S ribosomal RNA". The record is from RNAcentral.